This is a long non-coding RNA of Ornithodoros turicata, 692 nucleotides long. RefSeq lists it as uncharacterized. The record is from RefSeq and is a predicted model, not a curated record. Lineage: Eukaryota; Metazoa; Arthropoda; Arachnida; Ixodida; Argasidae. The transcript is spliced from 3 exons.
AAGACACGCAUCGCGUUGGAGGCGAAUGGUAGUUUACGUGUUCCGUGUGUCGGGGUUGUGUUUAUCGCGGCUGUGACGAACUUCUCUUCGUCGUGUACCCGAUGGCAGAGAACACUGCGACUAAAAUGCCAUGGCCCCAUUUGUCAAAGUUUUACGAGCUGUGUACCGAAGACUCAGACACGUGCAACUUGAAAUUCGGGUGCCUCCUGUGCGCUCCUGCGGGAAAAUUCAUUCGGACGUCGAACUCUUCGAAUGGCAAUUUGAGGAAGCACAUAAAGGCAAGACAUCCGUCACAUGUAAGUGGCCUGAAGGAAUCGAAGACACAGACGGCAAUGACCGCAGUGGAUCCAGGUGUGAACGCUGGGCCGUCUAAGCAGCCCAAGAUAUCUGAAGUAACAAGGGGUAGAUCCUGGAUUUCACAGGCGCAGUGGGAUUCGUUAAUCCACGACUUUAUUGUUGGGACAUUACAACCAUUCUCGGUGUUAGAUCAUCCGAACACGAGAGCUCUCCUCGUAGCGGCAAAGCCUAACUUGAAGCCGGUAACACGUGACAUGUUCAUGAAGCGACUGGAUACGUCAUACGACGGUAUGCUCGGCAAGCUUCGCAGCGUUCUUGUGAGAUGCACACAUGUGGCCCUGACUGCGGAUUGCUGGACCACAUUUCACAGGUACUUCACAGCUGUCAAGGCAGCA